Molecule: ribosomal RNA, 1236 nt
Filed under: metagenome
Description: bacterial LSU rRNA
Rfam family: Bacterial large subunit ribosomal RNA
Source: RNAcentral
UGAAUACGAGAUGCUACGGCAUUGAAGCAGUGUAUGUCAGACUUCCAAGAAAAGCUCGCAAUGUCAUAAACAAUAAAUGCCUGUACCAUAACCGACACAGGUGGGUAGGUAGAGUAUACUAAGGGGCGCGAGAUAACUCUCUCUAAGGAACUCGGCAAAAUGACUCCGUAACUUCGGGAGAAGGAGUGCCUUAUUUUAUAAGGUUGCAAUAACAAGAUCCAAGCAACUGUUUACCAAAAACACAGGUCUCCGCUAAGUCGAAAGACGAUGUAUGGGGGCUGACGCCUGCCCAGUGCCAGAAGGUUAAAGAAGUUGGUUAGCUUCGGCAAAGCUGAUGACUGAAGCCCUGGUGAACGGCGGCCGUAACUAUAACGGUCCUAAGGUAGCGAAAUUCCUUGUCGGGUAAGUUCCGACCCGCACGAAAGGCGUAAUGAUUUGGAUACUGUCUCGGAGAGGGGCUCGGUGAAAUAGACCUGUCUGUGAAGAUGCGGACUACCUGCACCUGGACAGAAAGACCCUAUGAAGCUUUACUGUAACUUGAGAUUGAAAUUGGACUUUAUUUGCGCAGUAUAGGUGGGAGACGUUGAGAAUAUUCUUGCGGGAAUAUUGGAGUCAUCAGUGAGAUACCACUCUUGUAAUGUUAGAUUUCUAACUUUGUAUCAUUAUCUGGUCAAAGGACAGUUUCAGGCGGGCAGUUUGACUGGGGCGGUCGCCUCCUAAACGGUAACGGAGGCGCACAAAGGUUUCCUCUGAACGUGUAGAAAUCGUAUCUAGAGUGUAAAGGCAUAAGGAAGCUUGACUGUGAGACCUACAAGUCGAGCAGGGACGAAAGUCGGUCUUAGUGAUCUGACGGUGCUGAGUGGAAAGGCCGUCACUCAACGGAUAAAAGUUACUCUAAGGAUAACAGGCUGAUCUCCCCCAAGAGUUCACAUCGACAGGGAGGUUUGGCACCUCGAUGUCGGCUCAUCGCAUCCUGGGGCGGUAGUACGUCCCAAGGGUUGGGCUGUUCGCCCAUGAAAGCGGUACGCGAGCUGGGUUCAGAACGUCGUGAGACAGUUCGGUCCAUAUCCGGUGUAGGCGUUAGAAUAUUGAGAGGAGCCUUCUUUAGUACGAGAGGACCGAGAAGGACAUACCUCUGGUGUACCAGUUAUCGUGCCAACGGUAAACGCUGGGUAGCUAUGUAUGGAGUGGAUAACCGCUGAAAGCAUCUAAGUGGGAAGCCCACCUCAAGAUAAG